Molecule: long non-coding RNA, 191 nt
Organism: Amblyraja radiata (thorny skate)
Lineage: Eukaryota; Metazoa; Chordata; Chondrichthyes; Rajiformes; Rajidae
Exons: 3
Source: RefSeq, a predicted model, not a curated record
UAAACAGAUGUCUCCGAAGAAGAAAUGCAAAAUUGUCAAUCCAAAUGCAUAGCUAGAGUUCAACUUGAAGUGAAUUUCUCUGUCAUGCCCGAGUCUAAGAGGGAUCUUAAAAAUGGACACAUCUUGUACUUGUACACCUCAUUUGGAAAAAGUCUGUCUGAAACAGAGAAAUCGCUGAGUUCACAUUUCUC